GACGAACGCUGGCGGCGUGCUUAACACAUGCAAGUCGAACGGAAAGGCCCUGCUUUUGUGGGGUGCUCGAGUGGCGAACGGGUGAGUAACACGUGAGUAACCUGCCCUUGACUUUGGGAUAACUUCAGGAAACUGGGGCUAAUACCGGAUAGGAGCUCCUGCUGCAUGGUGGGGGUUGGAAAGUUUCGGCGGUUGGGGAUGGACUCGCGGCUUAUCAGCUUGUUGGUGGGGUAGUGGCUUACCAAGGCUUUGACGGGUAGCCGGCCUGAGAGGGUGACCGGCCACAUUGGGACUGAGAUACGGCCCAGACUCCUACGGGAGGCAGCAGUGGGAAUAUUGCACAAUGGGCGGAAGCCUGAUGCAGCAACGCCGCGUGCGGGAUGACGGCCUUCGGGUUGUAAACCGCUUUCGCCUGUGACGAAGCGUGAGUGACGGUAAUGGGGAAAGAAGCACCGGCUAACUACGU
RNAcentral lists this ribosomal RNA (466 nucleotides) under uncultured bacterium. Its description in RNAcentral is "partial 16S ribosomal RNA". It matches the Rfam family "Bacterial small subunit ribosomal RNA", at positions 28 to 506 of the family's 1533-position model. The record is from RNAcentral.